RNAcentral lists this ribosomal RNA (450 nucleotides) under uncultured bacterium. Its description in RNAcentral is "partial 16S ribosomal RNA". It matches the Rfam family "Bacterial small subunit ribosomal RNA", at positions 354 to 796 of the family's 1533-position model. The record is from RNAcentral.
GUGGGGAAUCUUCCGCAAUGGACGAAAGUCUGACGGAGCAACGCCGCGUGAGUGAUGAAGGUCUUCGGAUUGUAAAGCUCUGUUAAUCGGGACGAAAGAGCCUAGUGUGAAUAAUGCUAGGAAGUGACGGUACCGGAAUAGAAAGCCACGGCUAACUACGUGCCAGCAGCCGCGGUAAUACGUAGGUGGCAAGCGUUGUCCGGAAUUAUUUGGCGUAAAGCGCGCGCAGGCGGAUCUGCCAGUCUGUCUUAAAAGUUCGGGGCUUAACCCCGUGAUGGGAUGGAAACUACAGAUCUAGAGUAUCGGAGAGGAAAGUGGAAUUCCUAGUGUAGCGGUGAAAUGCGUAGAUAUUAGGAAGAACACCAGUGGCGAAGGCGACUUUCUGGACGAAAACUGACGCUGAGGCGCGAAAGCCAGGGGAGCGAACGGGAUUAGAUACCCGUGUAGUCC